Molecule: ribosomal RNA, 624 nt
Filed under: Alkalihalophilus pseudofirmus
Lineage: Bacteria; Bacillati; Bacillota; Bacilli; Caryophanales; Bacillaceae
Description: bacterial SSU rRNA
Rfam family: Bacterial small subunit ribosomal RNA
Source: RNAcentral
GCAGUCGAGCGGACUGAUGGGAGCUUGCUCCCUGAGGUUAGCGGCGGACGGGUGAGUAACACGUGGGCAACCUGCCUGUAAGACUGGGAUAACUCCGGGAAACCGGGGCUAAUACCGGAUAACCCGUUCCACCUCAUGGUGGAGCGGUAAAAGAUGGCCUCUGGCUAUCACUUACAGAUGGGCCCGCGGCGCAUUAGCUAGUUGGUAAGGUAACGGCUUACCAAGGCGACGAUGCGUAGCCGACCUGAGAGGGUGAUCGGCCACACUGGGACUGAGACACGGCCCAGACUCCUACGGGAGGCAGCAGUAGGGAAUCUUCCGCAAUGGACGAAAGUCUGACGGAGCAACGCCGCGUGAGUGAUGAAGGUUUUCGGAUCGUAAAGCUCUGUUGUUAGGGAAGAACAAGUGCCGUUUGAAUAAGGCGGCACCUUGACGGUACCUAACCAGAAAGCCACGGCUAACUACGUGCCAGCAGCCGCGGUAAUACGUAGGUGGCAAGCGUUGUCCGGAAUUAUUGGGCGUAAAGCGCGCGCAAGCGGUCUCUUAAGUCUGAUGUGAAAGCCCACGGCUCAACCGUGGAGGGUCAUUGGAAACUGGGAGACUUGAGUACAGAAGAGGAGAGUG